GGAGAAGGCAAGCGUUGUUCGGAAUCACUGGGCUUAAAGCGCGUGUAGGCGGGCCUGUUAGUCGGGUGUGAAAUCCCUCGGCUUAACCGGGGAACUGCACCCGAAACUGCGGGUCUUGAGUCAAUCAGAGGUCGAUGGAACUUCAGGUGGAGCGGUGAUAUGCGUAGAUAUCUGAAGGAACGCCAGUGGCGAAAGCGGUCGACUGGGAUUGCACUGACGCUGAGACGCGAAAGCGUGGGGAGCGAACGGGGGAUUAGAUACCCCGGUAGUCCACGCCGUAAACGAUGCACACUAGGCUGAGGGAGUUCUGACGCUUUCUCGGCCGUAGCGAAAGCGAUAAGUGUGCCGCCUGGGAGUACGGUCGCAAGGCUA
Molecule: ribosomal RNA, 372 nt
Filed under: uncultured organism
Description: partial 16S ribosomal RNA
Rfam family: Bacterial small subunit ribosomal RNA
Source: RNAcentral